AUUUAACUACGUGUAAACGUUAUUUGGCGGUUUUUACUUGGAAAAUCAGCUGUUUUCUAGCAUUCGAAUAACUAUGAUAAACCUGAAACGAUAGAAGAAGGAUUGGAGAUGAAUUUCAUUUACAAAUAGCCUAAGGUGAAGCCGAGUUCCAAGACUCUUCGAAUUUCCUCAAUCAGGGACCAUAUUUUGCUGAACUACUCUUGCAGGAGGUGUCAAAGUGUGUGAAGUAGAGGUAUUAAGUCGGAAAUGAGUGCAGUCUCGUCUCCAUCGGUGUGUCCUCCGGUUUCCAGUGUCCCGUCUUCCCCAACGAUCAACAGCGGAUAUACCCGUCUCCUCUCGAGGUGUGAGCCUACCUCCAUUCCAUUAGUUCCUGGCAAGGCAAUUUUAUCCU
Onychostoma macrolepis is the source of this 391-nucleotide long non-coding RNA. RefSeq lists it as uncharacterized. Lineage: Eukaryota; Metazoa; Chordata; Actinopteri; Cypriniformes; Cyprinidae. The record is from RefSeq and is a predicted model, not a curated record. The transcript has 3 exons.